GUUUUUCUUACUGAGUGAGCAGUAAGGUCACCCAGAUAACCCACUCCUGAGUCACGAGGCCUUUCUGACCUAUGACUCUGGAGGGCAGCUCUGUUUAUUUCUUCUUUGUGGUGACAAUGUGGGUGUCACCUUGAGGAGCCCAUUGAAGAAGUUCAUUGAGUGAGAAGACUCGGCCGGGUCUCCGGGGCCGCUGUAACAGACUCAGGGCUGCAGUAACAGACUCAGGCCACCGUAGCAGACUUGGGGCCUCUGACGACAGAAAUGUAUUUCCUCGCCGUCUGGAAGCUGGGAGGACCUGGUUCAAGGUGCGGGCAGGGCUGCUUUCCCCUGAGCCUCUCCACAGUGUCUUCCACCAGGGGCUUCACGUGGUCUUCCCUCUGUGUGCGUCUGUGUUCUAAUCACCUCUUCUUGUAGGGACACGAGUCAUGGGACCUUUUUUAAUCAUAAUCACCUCUUUAAAGAUCCUGUCUCCAAAUACAGUCCCAUUCUGAGGUACUGGAGGUUAGGACUUCAACCUACAAAUAUGUGGGGGUGCAGUAUGCCCCUGACUUCGCUGGAAGUGAUGGAGGUGAAGUUGGUCAAUGGUUUCCAAUGCUCUGCUCUCCCUACACUGAUCGGGGACUGGCCUCUGUCAGGCCUUGUGAGGUGCCUGUGCCCACCCACUGUGAGCCAAAGAUGGAGGCUCCCAGAGAAGAUAGUCCCAGCCCUCCCCCACUAGCCUGGAACCCAUCCUUCCAGCUCAGAUCACACUCUGAGGAAAGAGAUCCCUAAUCCAGGCAGCUCAGACACCUGCUAGGAUUCUCCAGACCCCCGCGAGAGCGCACCCUGUGGUCCCGGGAGAGGGCAGAGUAAGCCAUACCUCAACAGCACUCCACCUGCUCAAUGGCAUGAAACAGUUCCACAUCUGCUGGACCUGGAGGAGGUGUCUUCCUAGGUCACCUACAUGCAGGGCACCAUGGCGAUUUGGAGAUACAAGUGCCACACACAGAGACAGAGCCACGGCCUGCCUUAUCCAGCUGCCCCCAGCAUUUUUUAAAAAAUUAGACAGGGUCUCACUCUAUUGCCCAGGCUAGAGUGCAGUGGUGCAAUCACUGCUCACUACAGCCUUGCGCUUCUGGGCUCAGGUGAUCCUCCUACUUCAGCCUCCAGAGUAGCUGGGACUACAGAUGUGCAUCACCAUGCCCAGCUAAUUAAAAACAAUUUCUUUGUCAAGACAGGGUCUCAAUACAAUGUCCAGGCUGGUCUCAAACUCCUGGCCUCAAGCAGUCCUCCUGCCUCGGCCUCCCAAAGUCCUGGGAUUACAGGUAUGAGACACUGUGCUGGGCCCCUGUCAAUUUUGGAAGGAUCCAGUUGUGUUUCUUCAUUCAUUUAACACAUAUUUGUAGAAAGCAAAUCCGUGCCAGGCAUAGAUGCUUGAGAUUCAUUAGCCAACGAAACAGAAAACAACCUGUGACCUCAUGGAGCCUCCAUCCCUAGCGGGACGGGUACAGCAGGGGCUUCACCCAGAGAGGCUUCCUGUGAAAACGCCCACUGGGUCCUGGGGAACUGGGAAUCCCCGGCCGCUUCUGCACAGGGCUCCUGGGUGGUUUCCUGUUUCGGCUCCACAGCCGGGGGAAGUUUCUGCUGUUUGCUCCUCUGCACUCUAAGCGGAGAUGUGCACACUCGCGAGCAGGGAUUUUUCUGGUUCAGGAAAGUCCUGCGUCCUUGGGCGCACUUUCACAAGUGUGAGAAAGCCAGUUCAAAUGUGACUUCCCGUGAGAAACCCUGCCUGGCCUCCCGCCCUCCCCGGCACUCUCAGCAUGAAUCAUGCUGCGUUGUCACUAUUGUCUUGCUCAUCUGUGCCUGUCGCAUUCCCUGAGUUCCUCCUGGCGGGGUCUCGGCCUUGUUCAUCUUUGGACCUGGUGGCCAGCACAGAGAAUGUGCUCAAUGAAUGUUUGCUGGAUUGAAUGACACACCCUCAGGUCCAAGUGGGCCAUGCCCCUCUGCCUGCAGCCUGGUGGCCGUCAGGGUCAGGGCUCCCAUGCUUUCUGAUACCCGGGAGGAUGGGUCUCUGACCAUGGGAUUUUGAAAUAGCAAUGAGCCUGAAUAACAUUUUGAGAUACUGGCAACAACGAAAGUGUGGAAUGAAACUUCCCGUUAUUUCUGCUGGCUAACACUAAGUGGUUGCCACCUAUGUUCAUAAUACAAGGAACUGCUCAGUUUCAACCAGAGGUGAGUGAAAACAGAUGUCAUUGUUUUCCCAUGUCAGUUCAUGAGCCCUCUGGGUUGUAUUCUCAGGUCGCUCGAGGGUCCACUUGUGCUCCAUUUAGAACCUCCGGACUCUACCGCUCAUCCCCCAAGUUAGCCUGUCACCUUUCAACUCCCAGGGGCUCAGGUGUCAGGGCCUUCGCGUUGCACCUUAGCCUUGGUGUAAGUCACGUGCCCUCAGCUCCUGCCCCUCUCCCUGAGUGACGUCCUCUCUACAGACAGAACUGGGCACUUUCUCCUGCUCCCCAGUGGACCCGAGGCACGAAAGCCUCAGCAAGCAGGGAGUGACAGGCACAGACCACAGCAACCACCCGCAGCCGGAGCAGAGUUCGCGCUCUCCCAGGGGCCCUCCUUGGUGGCUUUGGGGGGGCCUCAAUGCCAGGGUUUGCAUCUUUUCUUUUCUUUCUUUUUUUUUUUUUUUUUUUUGAGACGGAGUCUCGCUCUGUCGCCCAGGCUGGAGUGCAGUGGUGCGAUCUCAGCUCACUGCAAGCUCCGCCUCCCAGGUUCACACCAUUCUCCUGCCUCCGCCUCCUGAGUAGCUGGGACUACAGGCGCCCGCCACUACGCCCGGCUAAUUUUUUGUAUUUUUAGUAGAGACAGGGUUUCACCGUGUUAGCCAGGAUGGUCUCGAUCUCCUGACCUUGUGAUCCGCCCGCCUCGGCCUCCCAAAGUGCUGGGAUUACAGGCGUGAGCCACCGCGCCCGGCCGCAUCUUUUCUUUUUCUCCUUUUUCCCAACUACUGCUGUGCUUUCUGGCUUUGUGCCUUCCUUCUUUGCUUCCUCUCCCAUCACUCCACAGACAAGGAGGCUCUGUCCAAGCUCCUGUCCUGGCUCGCUCAGCCCAGCCUUCAGGUUCUCAGCCCAACACGAGGGUCUCCUUGGGUAGUCAGCUCAAUCAUUUCAAGCUAUUAAUCAACGGACUUCUCCUGAAUGCAUCCAGACCUCUCCUCAAGGCUCUUGCUCCGUCGCCCAGGCUGAAGUGCAGUGGAGCGAUCACGAUCACGGUUCGCUGCAGCUUCAAACUCCUGAGCUCAAACGAUCCUCCCCGCUCAGCCUCCCAAGUAGCUGGGACUACUGGCACAUGCCACCACCCCUGGCUGAAAAUCACUCAUUUUUAAUGAGAAAAUGAAGCGGGAAAGGAAGCUACUCACAACAGCAACAAGAUCCGUACUAUAACCAAGAAUGAAACCAGAAUAUAGAGUUUUUGUGAUUAGAACGGGCAAAUAAAAGAACAAAGCUGAGUGGAGAGUCCAGAAUUCUCAGCCACUCCACUCCUAAGAAUCUGCCGUUUUUAAAAAGUGGACAUGUGCACAAAGGUAUACGUACAAAGAGGCUCAGAAAUAACAUUUGCAAGGGCAAAAACAUUGAGGCCAAUGCGAGUUUUUAUCAACAGGAGAAUGGUUAAAUGAAUAAUGUUAUAUCACAUUUGCAGUGUUUUAUUUAGAAAGGAAGCAUUGCUGUGAGUUCUGACAUGGAAUGAUCUCGGUGGUAUAUUGAAAAGCAAGUUCUAAUAUAAUUCCUCAAGCAUAAAAAAAACUAUAUGUUGAUAUAUUUAUGGAUAGAGGUAAUUGCAUAGAAAAAUGCCUGGAAAGAUACAUGUCAAACCAUUAUUGUGGUUAGUUCUGGGGGCCAUUUCCUUUAGAAAUUUUCUAUGAGAAUGGCCGGGUGCGGUGGCUCAUGCCUGUAAUCCUAGCACUUUGGGAGGCCGAGGCGGGUGGAUCACAAGGUCAGGAGAUCGAGCCCAUCCUGGCUAAUACGGUGAAACCCCAUCUCUACUAAAAAUACAACAAAUUAGCCGGGCGUGGUGGCGGGCGCCUGUGGUCCCAGCUACUCGGGAGGCUGAAGCAGGAGAAUGGCGUGAACCUGGGAGGCGGAGCUUGCAGUGAGCUGAGAUUGCGCCACUGCACUCCAGCCUGGGCGACAGAGCCAGACUCCGUCUCAAAAAAAAAAGAAAUUUUCUAUGACAAUGUAUUCAUGUAGUACUUGUCAAUUAUUUUCUUUUUAAAUAAAAUAGUAAGACCCAGGCUUCUUAGUGCUGUGACAAGCUGGCCUUGUCUCUGUCUCCAGCAGGGUGGCUAAGGGUUUCAGAUGGCACCGCACCAUGGUGUUUGCUCCAGCCCAUCUCCUUGGGAUCAGUGUUAGUGUGGAGGAUGUGAGGGACCAUAGCUGUGACCUCCCGGGUGGGCUUCCAGAAGAGGAGGUCUGGUGAGACCGCUUGGGGCAGGACCAGAUAUUCCACUCCCUGGAAAGGAAGGCAUGGGAUUCUGCCUCGUGGCACAAGCCAGUCAGUUACUUUAGGUGCCUAAUAACCAUUUAGCACGGUCGUCCUUGACUUUGAUGUUGGCUGCACAUUGGAAUCACCUGGGAGGGUUAAACACUACUGAUGCCUGGCCUGCACAUGGAGAUUCUCAUUUAUUUGCUCCAAGAGUGGCCCUGGCAUUGGGAUUCUUAAAAGUUCUCUGGGCGAUGCUCUAAGGACCGCUCUCCUGAACCCCCAGAGUGCUAUCCGGUGUGUCGAUUGCAACUUUUGCAAUUGAUAUUUGAAACCAAAUAGGAGAAUUGUAAAGAAUAUUUGACCCAACUGGUUUCUGCUCAUCAUUCUCUCCCACUGGGAUCUUUCUGAUCUGAUCCGUUUUGCCAUCCAGUGCAUUCGGGCUAGGACAGCCAUGCUUCUGUAGGGACGUCUUUCCGAGGUCUAUAUCCAUAAGGAGAUGCAUCUCUGGGUUUCCUAGACAUGGAAGCCUCACCCGAGCCAAUCUUCCUUUUAGUUGUGUCCUUGUAGGAAGAAAUGGCUUCUAUAUGACUAAAAAUAUCUUCCCCCCAUUGAUAAAAAACCAAGUCCUGGGAAUACCAUUCAGCAAAAUAAAAAGAAACAAACUACUCAUAGGAGCAUGCUCCAAUGUAAACCGUGAAAACAUCGUGCUCAGCGAAAGAAGCCAGACACCAGAGACCACGUAUUGUAUGAGUCCAUAAUAGGAGGUGUCCAGAAAAGGCAAAUCCAUAGAGAGAGAAAGUGGAUCAGAGGUUGAUUGGGGCUAGGGUGGAACCGAGAAUAACUGCAAAAGGACACAGGGCUCUUUUUCAGUGACUGGAAAGUUCUAGAACUGGAUUGUGGUAAUGCUGCACAACUCGGAAUUAACUAGAAAUUAUUGAAUCACACUGGAAAAGGUGAGUCCUGUGGUACAUAGGACUCACUCUUUUCACCUUCACUUGAAAAGGAUGAGUCCUAUGGGCUCCUGGCCUCCCCAGGGCUGUGCAAUGCCCAGGGAUGGCAGAUGCAAAACCUGUGACGCUUGUUCUCCAGAGGGAGGCUGAGGCACACCACUUGCUGGCUCCGGCUGCUUCCUGGCGGUUUCCAAGAAGAAAGAGUGUGCCCUGAGAGGAAGUGGGGCUCCAUGCUGAAACAGCCCCAUGAUUGGCUAGCACAGGGGAAAACUCUCAAACUAUUUUUCAUGGAGUGACCAGAAGGGAGAGAGCUGUUCAAUUCCUGCUGAAAACUGACUCCCUGCCCUCGCUCCUCCCUUUCAUCCUCCCCUCCAUCCUCCCUUCCAUCCUCUUCUCCCUCCUCUUCUCUAUCUUCCCCCCUUCACCCUCCCCUCCGUCCUCCCUUCCAUUGUCUUCUCCCUCCUCUUCUCUAUCCUCCCCCCCACCCUCCCCUCCAUCCUCCCUUCCAUCUCUUCUCCCUCCUCUUCUCUAUCCUCCCCUCCCUCCUCCCUUUCACCCUCUCCUCCAUCCUGCCCUCUCUCCUCCCUCCCACCCUGCCCUCCCUCCCACC
This 6021-nucleotide long non-coding RNA is filed under the name Homo sapiens (human). RNAcentral's name for it is "HSALNT0374744". Lineage: Eukaryota; Metazoa; Chordata; Mammalia; Primates; Hominidae. The record is from RNAcentral.